GCAAAUCAAAUGAAUAACCACUAUUCGAUCACCUUGAGAAAUCAAAUACACUAUGAUUGUAGUAAAUAUAGGCAAAUUUAGCAGCAUAAGACUAAAUUGAUUUUAAUUGAUGAGGGAAGGCAUUUCAAUAAUAGAGGACUUCCAAUUUAGGAAAAACAAUUACACAGAAUCAUACAUCAUCUUUAGCUCCUACGAAAUUGAAUCAAG
This 207-nucleotide unclassified non-coding RNA is filed under the name Hevea brasiliensis (rubber tree). Lineage: Eukaryota; Viridiplantae; Streptophyta; Magnoliopsida; Malpighiales; Euphorbiaceae. The record is from RNAcentral.